UCCAGACUCCUACGGGAGGCAGCAGUGGGGGAUAUUGCACAAUGGGGGAAACCCUGAUGCAGCGACGCCGCGUGUGGGAAGACGGUCCUCUGGAUUGUAAACCGCUGUCCCCAGGGACGAAAAUGACGGUACCUGAAGAAGAAGCCCCGGCUAACUCCGUGCCAGCAGCCGCGGUAAUACGGAGGAUGCGAGCGUUAUCCGGAUUUACUGGGUGUAAAGGGAGCGCAGGCGGCACGGCAAGCCUGAUGUGAAAGCCCGCGGCCCAACCGCGGGACUGCAUUGGGAACUACCGGGCUGGAGUGCCGGAGAGGUAGGCGGAAUUCCUAGUGUAGCGGUGAAAUGCGUAGAUAUUAGGAGGAACACCAGUGGCGAAGGCGGCCUACUGGACGGUGACUGACGCUGAGGCUCGAAAGCGUGGGGAGCAAACAGGAUUAGAUACCCGUGUAC
This 447-nucleotide ribosomal RNA is filed under the name uncultured bacterium. RNAcentral's name for it is "bacterial SSU rRNA". It matches the Rfam family "Bacterial small subunit ribosomal RNA", at positions 330 to 793 of the family's 1533-position model. The record is from RNAcentral.